UCCGUAGGCGGGCAAUUAAGUCAGAGGUGAAAUCCCACAGCUCAACUGUGGAACUGCCUUUGAUACUGGUUGUCUUGAGUUACAGCGAAGUAGAUAGAAUAUGUAGUGUAGCGGUGAAAUGCAUAGAUAUUACAUAGAAUACCGAUUGCGAAGGCAGUCUACUAACUGUAUACUGACGCUAAUGGACGAAAGCGUGGGGAGCGAACAGGAUUAGAUAUCCUGGUAGUCC
RNAcentral lists this ribosomal RNA (229 nucleotides) under uncultured bacterium. RNAcentral's name for it is "partial 16S ribosomal RNA". It matches the Rfam family "Bacterial small subunit ribosomal RNA", at positions 568 to 796 of the family's 1533-position model. The record is from RNAcentral.